CUUCUCAUCACGAAUUGCCGUAUACACACCCAGAAGGUGUUCGUCAGAUUCAACCCAAAAGAGGUAUUCCGCAAGUUGUGGUCCCAGAAACCCGAGACAGCCAAGCUUGUCGACUGGGCAGCAACUAAAUGGCCCAAUGCAGUCCUCGAACAUACGGAGGCAGACCUUACUCACAUGUUAUCCCAACUCGAGAAAUUUACCAUCACACAAGCCGAGUUUUCUAACAUCCACACUAGAGAGAAACGUUUUGUCGGAGCCUUACUAAUGGCCGCCUCUGCGUUAGGCUCGAUUUUUAGUGUAGGAAUGUCCACGGUAAAUGCGGUGAGCAUAGCGACAAUAAAACGCCAGGUCAAGGAAGUCAAAGCAGAGAUACCAGCUUUACAACGUCAAGUAGACCAACAGCAGAAAACCUUAGAGGUUAUUGGCAAAACCCUUAAAAACACCAUUACAGUCCUCAACACCCAAUCGGUGGCCCUGAACAAAACUAUCAACACGAUAAACCACCUGGUUAGCAUAAUGCAAGUAGAUUACUUUCUCGACCAAAUUAUCACGCAACUAACGGAAGACCUAUUACGAGAAGUUACCAACUCAGUCGAGAGCCUAGCUCUCGGUAGAAUUCCCCCAUAUCUUGUACCAUUAUCGCUAGUACAAAACAUCCUAACAACCGCUACCAGGGAUCGAGUCACUCCAAUACAGGCACACCUAGCCUACACCCUGGGCAGCGCCAUUCCCUUACACGUAAACCCUGAAAGCCGAGAGAUAGCUUUCCUAAUUAGCCUACCCGUUGUCGCAUCCGAUAACGUCUACCGCCUCAAAGACGUCGUUAACGUAGGAACUUGGAACGAAGACACUCACGUGCAGGUUGAAACGCCUUCGAUCAUUGCGUAUCAUGACGACAAUCAGGACCUAUACUUAGCUCCUAAUUUACGCAUGUGUACUCGCACCAAAGACAUCCACUAUCUCUGUCCAAGUAAACCUUUCAUUCGGGACAACACUAACGGUAUCUGUGGUCUCCAACCCAUGAACCCCGAUAACCAAUGUUCUGCAGCAAUAACCACCCGAACUCAAGUAACCACGACCCAAGCUGAAAUAGUGGGCCAUCGCUGGUUGGUUCAUAGUCCUGCCAAAUUUGCUACUCUGUCUUACGACCAGCAUGACACAAACACUCGCGUAUCCCUCAUCAACCAAGUCAUGUGGAUUACGGUACCUGAGAAUGCCAUCCUACACAUUGACGACCUCGCCUUGUUCCAUUUACCUCCCGAGCAAUAUCAAACAGACAUCGAAAUGCCGGAUUUCUUUAAAGACCUAUCUCUAGAAAUCAGCCCACAAACUUUAACCCAGAUCCAAUAUGAAGGGACUAAAAUUAUCGACAUCACCCCUCUCGAUAAUGUCCUUAAGGAACUAAAAUCUACUACAAAAACUCCUAACCAACCUCUAAUGUACACCUGGUCUACCCCAGACACCUCCCUAGCUAUGGUAAUUAUUCUCAGUUACAUAGUUUUCUUUGGCGUUGCCACCUUGUCCUUUAGACGCACCAAAAAUUUACAAGACCAAAUAAAUCGUUGCUCCGAUCGCCUAUUUAAACGCAAACAAAACAGAUUCAAGAGUCCCACCGAGGACACAUCUGAGGGUCAGGACUUAACCGUGCUGGUUGAUCCGUAAACUUCCAAUCAGCCAUCCCAUUGAUCAGGCCCCAAACAUUAGCAUAUCUAACACCCUGCUACUGAGACCACCUACUCGUCUCAUUAUAUAGGCACAGGCCAAAUUUAGCUAGAGCAAAAGAAAGCUUUUCUUCCUUUUCUCUUAUUUAGCUUAAGAUCCCUUAGGGAUUUCUUUUGUGUGUUUAGAUGUGAUUCUUUUUAUACCCC
Molecule: long non-coding RNA, 1868 nt
Organism: Gouania willdenowi (blunt-snouted clingfish)
Lineage: Eukaryota; Metazoa; Chordata; Actinopteri; Blenniiformes; Gobiesocidae
Source: Ensembl